RNAcentral lists this ribosomal RNA (253 nucleotides) under uncultured prokaryote. Its description in RNAcentral is "partial 16S ribosomal RNA". It matches the Rfam family "Bacterial small subunit ribosomal RNA", at positions 525 to 777 of the family's 1533-position model. The record is from RNAcentral.
ACGUAGGGGGCGAGCGUUGUCCGGAUUUAUUGGGCGUAAAGGGCGCGUAGGCGGUGCUGUAAGUUUGGAGUGACAGUGGGUGGCUUAACUACCCAAGGCCUUUGAAAACUGGAGCACUUGAGGACCAGAGAGGGACAUAGAAUUCCGGGUGGAGUGGUGAAAUGCGUAGAUAUCCGGAGGAAUACCAAAGGCGAAGGCAGUGUCCUGGAGGGUGACUGACGCUGAGGCGCGAAAGCUAGGGGAGCGAACAGGA